This 428-nucleotide ribosomal RNA is filed under the name uncultured prokaryote. Its description in RNAcentral is "bacterial SSU rRNA". It matches the Rfam family "Bacterial small subunit ribosomal RNA", at positions 355 to 774 of the family's 1533-position model. The record is from RNAcentral.
UGGGGAAUAUUGGACAAUGGGGGGAACCCUGAUCCAGCCAUGCCGCGUGUGUGAAGAAGGCCUUUUGGUUGUAAAGCACUUUAAGCGGGGAGGAGGCUCUUCUAGUUAAUACCUAGGAUGAGUGGACGUUACCCGCAGAAUAAGCACCGGCUAACUCUGUGCCAGCAGCCGCGGUAAUACAGAGGGUGCGAGCGUUAAUCGGAUUUACUGGGCGUAAAGCGUACGUAGGCGGCUUUUUAAGUCGGAUGUGAAAUCCCUGAGCUUAACUUAGGAAUUGCAUUCGAUACUGGGAAGCUAGAGUAUGGGAGAGGAUGGUAGAAUUCCAGGUGUAGCGGUGAAAUGCGUAGAGAUCUGGAGGAAUACCGAUGGCGAAGGCAGCCAUCUGGCCUAAUACUGACGCUGAGGUACGAAAGCAUGGGGAGCAAACA